This 134-nucleotide small RNA is filed under the name Arabidopsis thaliana (thale cress). RNAcentral's name for it is "ATSL261660". The record is from RNAcentral. Lineage: Eukaryota; Viridiplantae; Streptophyta; Magnoliopsida; Brassicales; Brassicaceae.
AAAUAUAAAAAAUAACAAAUAAUUAUAAGACUGUGAAUUAUAUAUUACGAAAGUAAUUACUGUCAACACUAAAAUAAAAUAUAGACCCGUGGUAUACCGCGGGUUAAAAUCUAGUAUAUACUAAAACUGUUGGG